CACAGUCUUUCAAGUUAUAUAUAACAGAGUUGUCAGAGACAAUGAAGCUCCAAAAUCUGCUAGCUUUCCUUCAAGUGGGGAUUGCACAGCUAAAGCUGUGUAAUUCUCAGUUUCUAUUUUUACUGAUCCUAUGUGGUGAACUAUUUAGAACCAGAAGAUACAAUUUUGAUUCUAUCAUACUCAAAAGGAACAUCAGCGUCAAGGAUCAUUUCCAGCAUAAAUAAACUUUAGCCAACUUCUAUUGCAUCAUCAGCUUUUCUAUUCAGGCAAGCUUCGAAAAAUUGCAGAUGCUCUCCAUUUGACUCGGUAUUCCGGGCAUGAACAUUUUCGAUGGAAGCGGAGAGAAUAGUUUUUACAGGUUUUGAUGAAUGAAUCCAUAGAUAAGUUGCGAAUAAGGUUUCAACAAACAUUUGCACUGAGAACAGGUUUUCCAAGGGGAAGUUGGCUUUUUGACUUCUAUAGGCAUCUGCUAAGGUGGAAAUUUUGGCCCUUAACAUAGUUAGGACAAGUUUUCAAUCUUCAAUAACAAACUCUUAAGUGAUUGACUUAAAAUUUUUUGUUCUACAUAGAAGUGACUGAUAAUUGAAUUAAUUGUAUAUGACUUCAGUUUUUCUUCUCUGUCACUUUUUGGUCUCAUUGUUACUUAUCUUCCUCAUAACAUCUAUACUGUAAAAUGCCAAUGAGCAUGGGUAUCCAUAAUUUAGCAUAAUUGACGGUUCUCUUUAGUGC
Non-coding RNA from Carica papaya (papaya), 729 nucleotides. The record is from RefSeq and is a predicted model, not a curated record. NCBI's taxonomy places the organism in Eukaryota, Viridiplantae, Streptophyta, Magnoliopsida, Brassicales, Caricaceae.